CUACGGAAGGUCCGGGCGUUAUCCGGAUUUAUUGGGUUUAAAGGGAGCGCAGGCGGAGAUGCAAGCGUGACGUCAAAUUUCGGGGCUCAACCCCGUCUCGCGUCGCGAACUGCGUCCCUUGGUUGCGGGAAGGGGAGGCGGAACUCGUGGUGUAGCGGUGAAAUGCAUAGAUAUCACGAAGAACUCCGAUCGCGAAGGCAGCCUUCCGGCCCGUCAACGACGCUCAUGCUCGAAGGUGCGGGUAUCAAACAGGAUUAGAUACCCUGGUAGUCCGCACAGUAAACGAUGGACACCCGCGGUUUGGCCUGUAUGGCUGAGCCGCCAAGCGAAAGCGUUAAGUGUCCCACCUGGGGAGUACGCCGGCAACGGUGAAACUCAAAGGAAUUGACGGGG
Molecule: ribosomal RNA, 393 nt
Filed under: uncultured bacterium
Lineage: Bacteria
Description: partial 16S ribosomal RNA
Rfam family: Bacterial small subunit ribosomal RNA
Source: RNAcentral